This 465-nucleotide ribosomal RNA is filed under the name Vreelandella stevensii. Its description in RNAcentral is "partial 16S ribosomal RNA". It matches the Rfam family "Bacterial small subunit ribosomal RNA", at positions 338 to 795 of the family's 1533-position model. Lineage: Bacteria; Pseudomonadati; Pseudomonadota; Gammaproteobacteria; Oceanospirillales; Halomonadaceae. The record is from RNAcentral.
CCUACGGGAGGCAGCAGUGGGGAAUAUUGGACAAUGGGGGGAACCCUGAUCCAGCCAUGCCGCGUGUGUGAAGAAGGCCCUCGGGUUGUAAAGCACUUUCAGUGAGGAAGAACGCCUGGUGGUUAAUACCCAUCAGGAAAGACAUCACUCACAGAAGAAGCACCGGCUAACUCCGUGCCAGCAGCCGCGGUAAUACGGAGGGUGCGAGCGUUAAUCGGAAUUACUGGGCGUAAAGCGCGCGUAGGUGGCUUGAUAAGCCGGUUGUGAAAGCCCCGGGCUCAACCUGGGAACGGCAUCCGGAACUGUCAAGCUAGAGGGCAGGAGAGGAAGGUAAAAUGCCCGGUGGAGCGGUGAAAUGCGGAGAGAUCGGGAGGAAUACCAGUGGCGAAGGCGGCCUUCUGGACUGACACUGACACUGAGGUGCGAAAGCGUGGGUAGCAAACAGGAUUAGAUACCCCGGUAGUC